Molecule: ribosomal RNA, 561 nt
Filed under: Lactococcus lactis subsp. lactis bv. diacetylactis
Lineage: Bacteria; Bacillati; Bacillota; Bacilli; Lactobacillales; Streptococcaceae
Description: bacterial SSU rRNA
Rfam family: Bacterial small subunit ribosomal RNA
Source: RNAcentral
GNNAAUUGACGCUGAGGUUGGUACUUGUACCGACUGGAUGAGCAGCGAACGGGUGAGUAACGCGUGGGGAAUCUGCCUUUGAGCGGGGGACAACAUUUGGAAACGAAUGCUAAUACCGCAUAAAAACUUUAAACACAAGUUUUAAGUUUGAAAGAUGCAAUUGCAUCACUCAAAGAUGAUCCCGCGUUGUAUUAGCUAGUUGGUGAGGUAAAGGCUCACCAAGGCGAUGAUACAUAGCCGACCUGAGAGGGUGAUCGGCCACAUUGGGACUGAGACACGGCCCAAACUCCUACGGGAGGCAGCAGUAGGGAAUCUUCGGCAAUGGACGAAAGUCUGACCGAGCAACGCCGCGUGAGUGAAGAAGGUUUUCGGAUCGUAAAACUCUGUUGGUAGAGAAGANCGUUGGUGAGAGUGGAAAGCUCAUCAAGUGACGGUAACUACCCANAAAGGGACGGCUAACUNCGUGCCAGCAGCCGCGGUAAUNCGUAGGUCCCGAGCGUUGUCNGAUUAUUGGGCGUAAGCGAGCGCAGGUGGUUAUNAGUCUGGNGUAAANGCAGUGCC